AGAGUAGCCCGGGCAACGAAGGAGCCCAGGACACACGGUCACGUUUGGGACAUGUUUUGAUUACAUAGUCAAAAUAAUUGAUGGACUAGAUAUCGGAUAUGAAAGUCAAAGUAAUCAAGACUGACUACUCUGUAAAUGAACCAGGAGAAAAUGGCAAGGUUGCUGAGGAUACAUGCAAGAAAGAAAUUAUAGUAAUGAACCAUGGCAUCUAAACCAAGUAAGAAGGAAGUGAGGGCUUAAAAAAGUGGUGAGUCAAUGCAUUAUAUAAAUGAGACUGAAGAAUAGUUAUUAAAGUAAGUGAAUUGAAAGGCAAGAGUUUCUUUGAUUCUUUAGUUGGAGAGUUGAUCACUACGAAGUCCUUUCAUAAAUAUUCCUGACUUUUGCUGGCAGAAUUGUCUCCAGCAUUAGCCACUGAUAAAUUCUUAUGAUACCUUCUGUAUGCUUGUGACUAUUUAAUGAAAUAAUGCUAAUGAUGGACAUGCUAACAGAAACACAUCAGCUAUCCACUGCUUUAUUGGAUUUCUUCAAAGCCAGUACUGGAAAGGACAAGCAUUAAAAUCUGGUGCUUCCUGUGACACAUUACCAGAAGCAAGGUGGCUCCCAGGGCUACGCAAAAAAGAAUGGGUCCAGUGAGCAAAGGAGGCUCUUCAUCAAAACUGUCAAUGUAAGGAGAUUGUGAAUAAUAAUCUGAGUUGGAUGCUGGCUGAAAAAAUUGUCCUGCG
This is a long non-coding RNA of Pan troglodytes (chimpanzee), 722 nucleotides long. RefSeq lists it as uncharacterized. The transcript is spliced from 5 exons. Lineage: Eukaryota; Metazoa; Chordata; Mammalia; Primates; Hominidae. The record is from RefSeq and is a predicted model, not a curated record.